CUUGUGCUUGAUCCCCUGGGAACUGAAGCCAGCAAGAUUAAACAGUGCUUGGAGUCCACAAGGGCAUUUAUGAGAAAAAGAGGAGUAAUUUCUUCCAGGUGGACAGCCGACACAGCUCCACACAGUCGCCAAAAAGACAGUAGUUCAUGUGGAGUAUUUGUGCUUAAAUAUGCAGAAAAAAUCCUGGCUGGGGAGUCUUUGAUGUUCGCCAACAAGGCCUCAGCGGUGAAGAUUUAUAGAAAAGAAAUUGCCAGGACACUGCUGAAUGGGAGUGGUAAAGUUGUUGAAUUAUAUACUUUUGUUUAAAAAUUUGUCUUAUAGAAUGGUCUGUCUAAAAACACAAUUUGGAUUGACAUAGGAAGGUGUCUGUUUAGAAUGUCUGUUGUCAAAAUAAAAAAUGCAUAUAAUAAAGC
This is a non-coding RNA of Danio rerio (zebrafish), 413 nucleotides long. NCBI's taxonomy places the organism in Eukaryota, Metazoa, Chordata, Actinopteri, Cypriniformes, Danionidae. The record is from RefSeq and is a predicted model, not a curated record.